RNAcentral lists this long non-coding RNA (259 nucleotides) under Phasianus colchicus (ring-necked pheasant). Its description in RNAcentral is "lncRNA (ENSPCLG00000001517.1)". The record is from RNAcentral. Lineage: Eukaryota; Metazoa; Chordata; Aves; Galliformes; Phasianidae.
AUGGAUCUGAAGUGGAAUGCGAAUGAGCAGAUAUGUUCUGGAUGUUUAAGACAUUUAUUGACUCUCAGACUUCAGUUUUGCCCAAAGCAGAAUGAAGUUAAACAAUUGUGGGUUAAUGAUUUUUAUUUUGACAUGAGGACAGCAAUGGGGGAGAUAUUAAAGAAGAGCAUCAGAUGAUUUUGGAAGAAAAAAAAGAAGUAAAAAAGUAGUGCUUGAAAGUUUCCAGAGCAGAUGAGAAAUAAACAGACCAAGCAUCUCA